GUAGGUGGCAAGCGUUGUCCGGAAUUAUUGGGCGUAAAGCGCGCGCAGGUGGUUCUUUAAGUCUGAUGUGAAAGCCCCCGGCUCAACCGGGGAGGGUCAUUGGAAACUGGGGAACUUGAGUGCAGGAGAGGAAAGUGGAAUCCCACGUGUAGCGGUGAAAUGCGUAGAUAUGUGGAGGAACACCAGUGGCGAAGGCGACUUUCUGGCCUGUAACUGACACUGAGGCGCGAAAGCGUGGGGAGCAAACAGGGAUUAGAUACCCUGGUAGUCCACGCCGUAAACGAUGAGUGCUAAGUGUUGGGGGGGUUUCCCGCCCCUCAGUGCUGCAGCUAACGCAUUAAGCACUCCGCCUGGGGAUACGGUCGCAAGACUG
This 373-nucleotide ribosomal RNA is filed under the name uncultured organism. RNAcentral's name for it is "partial 16S ribosomal RNA". It matches the Rfam family "Bacterial small subunit ribosomal RNA", at positions 527 to 896 of the family's 1533-position model. The record is from RNAcentral.